UCUCGGGUCUGAAUGGUGAUUAGCGUAUCGAUUACAUAACCUAUAACGGACGCUGUCCUGUCCGCGGAGAGUAAACAGUAUCCACUGUGUUACGGAUACUUUAAUUGCCAAUCGCAAAGGGGACGUCUGCGCAUGGUUAACGGACGAUUUUCGGCCAGGAAAGCUUGCCCGCCGGCUUACGUAGUUUUUAAAUCGAGUGGCACGUCCGUCAGUGUGGCUAAAAUCGUCGACGAAGUUUGGAAUUCGUGGCAUCGAUUGACCCUGGUGCCUCUUAUGCCUAUGACACGCCCGAGAAAAUAGAAUCACAAUCGUUUGCUAUUUUUCCGGAACGAGCGCGGUUUCCUCGCUGCUUCGAAAUCAUGGAUUUUCUCUUUCCUCCCCGCUGAUACGAAUCGUUAUCAAUUUUUGCGAAAUUCUGUCUUAACGAAGCAGACGCGCAACGAAAGAACGUGACGUUAAGCAUCGCUGAUAACGACUCGUGUGUGUGCGCGCGGCCAGUUAAACCGGAAAUCAGCAUCGACAAGGAAAACAGCUUUGGAAAUACGCAGCGUUAUUACGGAAACUCGCGGAUGCAUUGUUGUUGCAUCUCCAGCGCAUUCCGUCGCUGAUGUAUUUCGGUGUCGCGUGGACCGAAAGUAGCCGAUUAAAAAGUUUCUGGUUGAGUUCCCCUUCGAGUCCCACCAGUCCCUCUCCUGGCUCGAUUUUCGAAUUCAAAUGUCACGAAAAAUAGAACGGCGAAAGAAUUUUUAAAGAUGGAGUCGAGGCACGGUGUAAUUGCAUUGAAUGGGCAAGGACCCGGUUUAAAAUCCGUGCGCUUGUACUCACCGGACGGCAACCAUUGGAAACGUCCAACGUACGGGAAACGGUAACGCACACUUCGAACACUUGACGGAGACACUUUCGAAAUGGCGCAACUUUUUUCCACGUGGCUGGGAUUCGAAUUGCAACUGUCACUGUACGGUGACGCGGGUAACGGCAACUUUUCUGUCGUUUUUCGAGGAUUUCAAGGAACGAACGAGCGGCUACCGUCCGUCGGGGCCACUGAUCAGCUGUGCACUGCGUACUGGGACGACGAAUUUGUUGCGGCACGCACGGCGAAUAUGUACCAGGAAAUCUGCGCUUUCGGUGAUCAAAAUAAAAGAAGCUCCACCCAUCACGUAGUCAAGAUGGCUGCCCGCACGACAAGUGCUUCCCUAUUUAUGAAUGGAAGACGCGUCGUAAUAGUUGCGGUCACAAGGAAGGGGAAACCGCGUGCUAUUUUAAAACCCACACGAAUGGAUAGCGAUGUCGUCGAGAUGGACAUAUUCUUUUUCAUGACCGUCGGAUUCUACUUAUGAUUUUCCCAUCCUCCUUUGUAUCAACUAUUAUUGUAUAAAAGAUGAAAAUAAAAGAGAAAUUUCAAUCCUU
This is a long non-coding RNA of Megalopta genalis, 1407 nucleotides long. RefSeq lists it as uncharacterized. The record is from RefSeq and is a predicted model, not a curated record. Lineage: Eukaryota; Metazoa; Arthropoda; Insecta; Hymenoptera; Halictidae.